Molecule: ribosomal RNA, 253 nt
Filed under: uncultured bacterium
Lineage: Bacteria
Description: partial 16S ribosomal RNA
Rfam family: Bacterial small subunit ribosomal RNA
Source: RNAcentral
GACGUAGGGCGCGAGCGUUGUCCGGAUUUAUUGGGCGUAAAGAGCGUGUAGGCGGUUAGGUAGGUCCGUUGUGAAAACUCGAGGCUCAACCUCGAGACGCCGAUGGAAACCAUCUGACUAGAGUCCGGAAGAGGAGAGUGGAAUUCCUGGUGUAGCGGUGAAAUGCGCAGAUAUCAGGAAGAACACCCGUGGCUAAGGCGGCUCUCUAGUACGGUACUGACGCUGAGACGCGAAAGCGUGGGGAGCGAACAGG